This 24-nucleotide non-coding RNA is filed under the name Mus musculus (house mouse). Lineage: Eukaryota; Metazoa; Chordata; Mammalia; Rodentia; Muridae. The record is from RNAcentral.
UAAUCUGGCGUGGGAGAGUUGGCG